RNAcentral lists this ribosomal RNA (406 nucleotides) under uncultured bacterium. RNAcentral's name for it is "partial 16S ribosomal RNA". It matches the Rfam family "Bacterial small subunit ribosomal RNA", at positions 29 to 526 of the family's 1533-position model. The record is from RNAcentral.
AUCGAACGCUGGCGGCAGGCCUAACACAUGCAAGUCGAACGAGUGGCGGACGGGUGAGUAAUGUCUGGGAAAUUGCCCGAUGGAGGGGGUUCACUACUGGAAACGGUAGCUAAUACCGCAUACCAUCGGAUGUGCCCAGAUGGGAUGAGCUUGUAGGUGGGGUAACGGCUCACCUAGGCGAAGAUCCCGAGCUGGUCUGAGAGGAUGACCAGGCACACGGGAACUGAGGGACGGUCCAGACGCCUACGGGAGGCAGCAGUGGGGAAUAUGGCACAAUGGGCGCAAGCCUGAUACAGCCAUGCCGCGUGUAUGAAGAAGGCCGUCGGGUUGUAAAGUACUUUAAGCGGGGAGGCGGUACCCGCAGAAGAAGCACCGGCUAACUCCGUGCCAGCAGCCGCGGUAAUAC